GCGCAGGUGGCGAAAUUGGUAGACGCACUACCUUGAGGUGGUAGCGCCUGUUAUGGGCUUGGAGGUUCAAAUCCUCUCCUGCGCA
RNAcentral lists this transfer RNA (85 nucleotides) under Minisyncoccota bacterium. RNAcentral describes it as "tRNA-Leu". It matches the Rfam family "tRNA". Rfam says of the family: Transfer RNA (tRNA) molecules are approximately 80 nucleotides in length. Their secondary structure includes four short double-helical elements and three loops (D, anti-codon, and T loops). Lineage: Bacteria; Bacillati; Minisyncoccota. The record is from RNAcentral.